AUUGAACGCUGGCGGCACGCCUAACACAUGCAAGUCGAGCGGUAACAUGGUUUGUAGCAAUACAAACUGAUGACGAGCGGCGGACGGGUGAGGAACACGUAGGAAUCUGCCCUCAAGCGGGGGAUAACCAAGGGAAACUUUGGCUAAUACCGCAUAAUCUCGAGAGAGAAAAGCUGCCCGCAAGGGUGGCACUUGAGGAGGAGCCUGCGUCCGAUUAGCUAGCUGGAGAGGUAAAAGCUCACCAAGGCAAUGAUCGGUAACUGGUCUGAGAGGACGGCCAGUCACACUGGGACUGAGACACGGCCCAGACUCCUACGGGAGGCAGCAGUGGGGAAUAUUGGACAAUGGGGGCAACCCUGAUCCAGCGAUGCCGCGUGAGUGAAGAAGGCCCUCGGGUCGUAAAGCUCUUUAGGUUGGGAAGAAGGGUAUAGGCUGAAUAAUCCUGUACUUUGACUGUACCGACAGAAUAAGCACCGGCAAACUCUGUGCCAGCCGCCGCGGUAA
This 504-nucleotide ribosomal RNA is filed under the name uncultured bacterium. RNAcentral's name for it is "partial 16S ribosomal RNA". It matches the Rfam family "Bacterial small subunit ribosomal RNA", at positions 30 to 523 of the family's 1533-position model. The record is from RNAcentral.